GAGUUUGGUCCUGGCUCAGGAUGAACGCUGGCGGCGUGCUUAACACAUGCAAGUCGAACGAAGCGCCUUAUUUGAUUUUCUUCGGAACUGAAGAUUUGGUGACUGAGUGGCGGACGGGUGAGUAACGCGUGGGUAACCUGCCCUGUACAGGGGGAUAACAAUCAGAAAUGACUGCUAAUACCGCAUAAGACCACAGCACCGCAUGGUGCAGGGGUAAAAACUCCGGUGGUACAGGAUGGACCCGCGUCUGAUUAGCUGGUUGGUGAGGUAACGGCUCACCAAGGCGACGAUCAGUAGCCGGCUUGAGAGAGUGAACGGCCACAUUGGGACUGAGACACGGCCCAAACUCCUACGGGAGGCAGCAGUGGGGAAUAUUGCACAAUGGGGGAAACCCUGAUGCAGCAACGCCGCGUGAGUGAAGAGUAUUUCGGUAUGUAAAGCUCUAUCAGCAGGGAAGAAAGUGACGGUACCUGACUAAGAAGCCCCGGCUAACUACGUGCCAGCCGCCGCCGUAAG
RNAcentral lists this ribosomal RNA (516 nucleotides) under uncultured microorganism. RNAcentral's name for it is "bacterial SSU rRNA". It matches the Rfam family "Bacterial small subunit ribosomal RNA", at positions 9 to 524 of the family's 1533-position model. The record is from RNAcentral.